GAUUUUCUUAAACUUGCAUGUAUACUAAGUUUUGUUUGAUUUAACAGAGACAUCAGAUGACGAGGUACCGACGGCAAUUGAAGUCCUUGGCAACUCUAACAUAACUAAAGGGCCAUCACAAAGGAGACAAAAGUGGAACCAAGAAGUCCAGGCAGUGGAAAAAACCCUCAAGGACUGCAUCGAUUCUGGAACUGUUCCUGGGAAAGCGAAGUGUAUGAAUUGCAUUGAAGCCUCGCCAGUGGCCCUCAAAAACAGGACAUGGCAAGCCAUUAAAUUCUACGUGAAAAAUCGAAUACCUGCAUUAAAA
This is a long non-coding RNA of Fundulus heteroclitus (mummichog), 307 nucleotides long. RefSeq lists it as uncharacterized. NCBI's taxonomy places the organism in Eukaryota, Metazoa, Chordata, Actinopteri, Cyprinodontiformes, Fundulidae. The transcript is spliced from 2 exons. The record is from RefSeq and is a predicted model, not a curated record.